UUGACCUCGGAUCAGGUAGGAAUCGGAUCAGGU
Molecule: ribosomal RNA, 33 nt
Filed under: Gaeumannomyces graminis
Lineage: Eukaryota; Fungi; Ascomycota; Sordariomycetes; Magnaporthales; Magnaporthaceae
Description: partial 26S ribosomal RNA
Source: RNAcentral